UCAAAAUAUGCACAAAUAUACCAAUUUUUAUUAAAAUAGAAUCAUUCUCACAGAAACUACUUGUUUGGUUGAUGAAAAAAUUUACUUUAGAACCAAUGUUCAUAAAUUCUUUACUAAUUUAUGCUUUUUGUGUAGGAGUACUGCACACUUUUGCAGAAACUUAUUACACUUUUUCAAUAAUCAAUCCUAUUCCUAAGAAUUUAGUGGCUAUAGUGAAUGGUUAUGUGACUAUUUGUGUUGGUGUAAUAAUAAGUGAAAAACAUGUUCUAGUUAGAAAGGAAUGUUUGACUGAUUGGAAUUCAAAGUCAACGAAAUUGAAAAUUGGAGCUGGAAAUACUGUACGAGGAUAUGAUUGGUAUCAACAGUUUGUAAAUAUAUCUCAAAUAAAUGAUUUCACAUAUGAUCUAUCAAUAGUAUUGCUCAAUCAUACAAUCAAAUUGAAUGAGCAAGUUCAAGUAGCUCAAUUGCCCACUCAAGAUGUGCAUACAAAAAAGAAUGCUAUUGUUUCGGGAUGGACUGGUAAAUGUUCAAAUGAUUUCAAGUUUUUCGUUAAUCGAAAGUUGAUGGUGGUACACUAUUACCCAAAGGAGUGUGGAGAAAAAAAAGAUGAUGAAUUUUGUGGAAGAACAAAGUAUCCUAAGAAGUCACAUAGUACUAAAGAUGAUGGAAUUGAUCGAGUAUACAAAAUAUCAGAAGGAGCACCAAUGAUUGAUUCAAAUGGAGUUUUAAUUGGUUACACUCGAUUUGGAUGUAAAGAAGGUGGUCCAGUUGUCAAUAUAUAUCGUCAUGUGAUAUAGAAUUCAAUACAUGGAUAAAAAACUUUGGUAAUACAAUUAUCGUAGAUUAAUCUAGUUUAAACAUUGAUUGAUAACUAUAUAACAUCUUUAGACUUUUUCAGCAUAUCCAGCUUCCCAUGGUAAACAUGGUGAACUGCCGGAAGACCUAGUCUUGUACAAUGAUGAGCCAUCAACAUAUACUCUUAAACAAUCGAAUUAAGAAUGGACAGUAUAUGAAACGAUGCC
RNAcentral lists this unclassified non-coding RNA (1022 nucleotides) under Chelonus insularis. Its description in RNAcentral is "uncharacterized LOC118063826, transcript variant X5". Lineage: Eukaryota; Metazoa; Arthropoda; Insecta; Hymenoptera; Braconidae. The record is from RNAcentral.